This 1466-nucleotide long non-coding RNA is filed under the name Lupinus mutabilis. Its description in RNAcentral is "partial ncRNA". The record is from RNAcentral. Lineage: Eukaryota; Viridiplantae; Streptophyta; Magnoliopsida; Fabales; Fabaceae.
CGCAAAAACUCCACCACUAGGCGUUUAUAUCUAAAUUGAUCUCAGCUUUGUGUCCUCAUAAUUGAUGACAACCUUUUUGGAGGACCAAAGUGAUGUGUACUUUCUUUGGAGGAGCAAAAAAUGUCACCUCUAUCAUUGGAAGAUUGAAGUGGGUGUUCACUAUAAUAUGCAACAUUAGUUACAGCUCCGUCUAUUAAUGUUUGUUAACACAAAUUUUCCUAUUAUUUUAAUGUACUUUAUGCGAAUCUGGUGUAGUUUUAUGUAUGUCUAUAUGUUUUUUAGGCCGAGUAUUUAUGAAUAACUUGGUACAUAAUUUUCAGACUCGGCAACUUAUUAAUACAAACAUGUAUUGGCUUGCAAUUCCAAGUAUUGGCUUACUUCUUAAGGGUCUUGUAAUUAUUUAAUGUUGCUAUCUGUUUAUGUCUAGACUGGAUAGUUUUGAUCUACUUAUGUUCAUAUUUAUCUUCAAUGCUUAUAUAUUAGUUGAGCUUUGAAGUUGUAUUCUUAUUCCAGAGUGGUUGAGGGAUCAUUUGUGUGGAUUGAGUUGUUUCUUUUCUGUUGAGGCUUGAUUGGAGUAGUCAUUUGGAAGUUGGAACUAACAGUAUUCAAAUUCAUAUCUUUUAGCUAGAGAGAAAGACACUUAGACUAAUGUUUUGAUUUUCCCAACUUUUUAAACUACUGAAUAUAUUUUUUGAUUAUCUCAGGAGUGGAUAUUUUUUCAAAAUUAGGAUAUAUCCAUUUUUGCACCUAGAGGCAGAGAGAUGCCAAAAAAACCAUAGGCAAAACGAUUAGGAAAGAUUUAGAGUUAAAUGCUUUAUCAAUGAACAUGUUUUAUGAUAGAGUAUUAUGGUAUCGUUCGAUCCAUAUAGUUGACCUAGUGAGACUAAGGCUUGGUUGUUAUUGUUAUAUUGUAAUGAUUUUUUUACUUCGUUCAGUGAAGAAACAAAAUCAUUCUUUUCUCAGCAGCCGUACAUACAAGGAAAUGAUGGUGGCCUAUUUGGAAAAGAAGCAUCUGCAAAUGUCCCCACUUGAUAUGAAAUUUCAUCUUCGUAAUUUGAUAGGAUUUCAUCUCAAAACUGACCCGACUCCAACUGGUUUAAUCACCCGAGUUUCAAUGGAUUAGAUCCAGAAAGUCUUAGCUGUACUCGGCUCCAUCAAAUGAUUCAUAUGGUCCUAUUUGCUGUCAACUUCAAGAAGGGGUUUAGUUGCUUAUGCUUUUGGCUUAUAUAUCAUUUCAUAUGGUUGUCAUUUAUGUGAGAUAACUAUAUAGGUGGCAUGCUAACCAACCAGUUCUACCUGGUUGAUCAAGAGAAUAUGCAAAGACAUUUCACAAUGACAUUCAUAUCUAUGUAAGUAUCAUUUUCACUGUCAUAUGUUGUGCAAUUAUUCACUAACACAUUCUCAGAGGUUCUGUUUUUUUAUUGUUAUUUUUUAUUUAAACAGAGGACUCAAAAUUAAUGAUUGAG